Molecule: ribosomal RNA, 396 nt
Filed under: uncultured bacterium
Lineage: Bacteria
Description: partial 16S ribosomal RNA
Rfam family: Bacterial small subunit ribosomal RNA
Source: RNAcentral
AUACGUAGGGGGCGAGCGUUGUCCGGAAUGAUUGGGCGUAAAGGGCGCGUAGGCGGCCCGGUAAGUCUGGAGUGAAAGUCCUGUUUUUAAGAUGGGAAUUGCUUUGGAUACUGUCGGGCUUGAGUGCAGGAGAGGUAAGUGGAAUUCCCAGUGUAGCGGUGAAAUGCGUAGAGAUUGGGAGGAACACCAGUGGCGAAGGCGACGUACUGGACUGUAACUGACGCUGAGGCGCGAAAGUGUGGGGAGCAAACAGGAUUAGAUACCCUGGUAGUCCACACUGUAAACGAUGAAUGCUAGGUGUAGGGGGUAUCGACCCCUUCUGUGCCGCAGUCAACACAAUAAGCAUUCCGCCUGGGGAGUACGGCCGCAAGGUUGAAACUCAAAUGAAUUGACGGG